RNAcentral lists this ribosomal RNA (303 nucleotides) under Clostridium botulinum. Its description in RNAcentral is "partial 16S ribosomal RNA". It matches the Rfam family "Bacterial small subunit ribosomal RNA", at positions 1 to 301 of the family's 1533-position model. Lineage: Bacteria; Bacillati; Bacillota; Clostridia; Eubacteriales; Clostridiaceae. The record is from RNAcentral.
UUUAAAUUUAGAGUUUGAUCCUGGCUCAGGACGAACGCUGGCGGCGUGCUUAACACAUGCAAGUCGAGCGAUGAAGCUUCCUUCGGGAAGUGGAUUAGCGGCGGACGGGUGAGUAACACGUGGGUAACCUGCCUCAAAGUGGGGGAUAGCCUUCCGAAAGGAAGAUUAAUACCGCAUAAUAUAAGAGAAUCGCAUGAUUUUCUCAUCAAAGAUUUAUUGCUUUGAGAUGGACCCGCGGCGCAUUAGCUAGUUGGUAAGGUAACGGCUUACCAAGGCAACGAUGCGUAGCCGACCUGAGAGGGU